This 390-nucleotide ribosomal RNA is filed under the name uncultured Methanosaeta sp. RNAcentral's name for it is "bacterial SSU rRNA". It matches the Rfam family "Archaeal small subunit ribosomal RNA", at positions 950 to 1338 of the family's 1478-position model. Lineage: Archaea; Methanobacteriati; Methanobacteriota; Methanomicrobia; Methanotrichales; Methanotrichaceae. The record is from RNAcentral.
GAGGUCAGGCUGAAGACCUUACCCGAUUUAGCUGAGAGGUGGUGCAUGGCCGUCGUCAGUUCGUACUGUGAAGCAUCCUGUUAAGUCAGGCAACGAGCGAGACCCACGUCCACAGUUGCCAGCAUACCCUCCGGGGUGAUGGGUACACUGUGGAGACCGCCGCUGCUAAAGCGGAGGAAGGAGUGGGCAACGGUAGGUCAGUAUGCCCCGAAUCUCCCGGGCUACACGCGGGCUACAAUGGUUGGUACAAUGGGCAUCUACCCCGAAAGGGGAAGGAAAUCUCUUAAAGCCAAUCUUAGUUCGGAUUGAGGGCUGCAACUCGCCCUCAUGAAGCUGGAAUCCGUAGUAAUCGCGUUUCAACAGAACGCGGUGAAUACGUCCCUGCUCCUU